Cyprinus carpio carpio is the source of this 1247-nucleotide long non-coding RNA. NCBI's taxonomy places the organism in Eukaryota, Metazoa, Chordata, Actinopteri, Cypriniformes, Cyprinidae. The record is from Ensembl.
GGGAGUUUCUAUUCAUCCUGAAGACCUCAAUUAGCAGUGUUUGAUUUGGCUCUGCAGGAUUGGACAGUCCUGAACUAGAGGAAAAAGCAACAGGAGCAGAAAGAAGAACUCCGCCUCCAAGAGAAAUAUCAACUGCAUGAUAUCAGACUCCUCCAAGUGUCCUGUGUCUCUUUCCCAUGUCUGCUGUGCGUGGCAGGCUCGCUUCUCUCUCGUUUCAGAAGGUAAGUGUGAAGCUUUAGCUGACAUGGUGUGCUUUCUAUUCAGUGUAAGCCGUUGGUGUGUUCACACCAGUGGUGUAGUUCUGACUCGUAGAUGGACCUACUGUGCAUUUAUCAAGAGCACACAACUCACUGGUAGAGGCUUCUGCUUCAGAUACACGAAAUUCCUUUAAAAACUCCUGGAAAAAGACUCACUCGAGGCUGCUGCAGUGCCUCCAGCGUUAGCCAAGACGUGCCUACUAUAUACUACCACCGAUUAAUGGCUGAAGAGUUAGUAGGUGUGAGAGAAGCUGGCCUGUUAAACAACUUACUAUGAUGACACCCUCACAGUCUCAUUCACACCACACUAAUAAACCAAACGAAAGCAGUGUUCAUUAAAGCUAAAGGGAUAUUGUGCUUAAAACAUAAUUCAAGUAGGGUGCAAAAAUAACUACUUAACGAGGAAAAAUACUCUAAAGUUGAAGCUAUGCAACGAGAGGUACACAAAGGUUAAAUAACUGAGGAUAGGUUUGUAAGUGUGUGUGAGUUCAUCUCAUUUUCACAUCAUGAACUGAGCCGUUUAACUUCAGACAUACAGCAGCAACUAUAAUCCGCUGCUGACACUAGGAACUGCUAGAGGUCAGUGAAACAUCUCAAGCAUCCUGACUGAGACCUGUCUCUUUAUUCAUAGCGCUUUGUUUCCUGAUUCUCAGAAGCAGAAAGGAGCGAAUCCCACACAAACACAGAAAGCUGGAUUUAGGCCAGAUCUGCUUGGCACGAUGCAGGAUUCUGGAGCCUAUAUAGACUCUGUGAGUCAUUCCACGAGAAUCAGCUUAAUGUGGGAUCUGAUGCACUGAAGAGAUGAUUUUCUGAGCAUUCAUGAUGCUGAAGUAUUUGUCCUUGGAUUUGCAUAACAAUGUAACUCGGUAGCACAUGGGGAGCAUCAUUUAGUUUGCAUCCUGCAGUAUGGAUACUGUCAGACGAUGUCCCGAAUAAAGAAUAAAGUGAGUGACGUGACAUACUCAGAAUUCGUGCUCUGCAUUUAACCCA